Long non-coding RNA from Acanthochromis polyacanthus (spiny chromis), 2111 nucleotides. RefSeq lists it as uncharacterized. The record is from RefSeq and is a predicted model, not a curated record. The transcript is spliced from 2 exons. NCBI's taxonomy places the organism in Eukaryota, Metazoa, Chordata, Actinopteri, Pomacentridae.
AGUCCCCCAGCAGCCUAGGCCUAUAGCAGCAUGACUAGGGGCAGAACGAAGGGACGUCCAAGAGGGAGUCAGCUGUGCAAUGAAGACACAAGCCGAACCCCUGUGGGUCACCCAGUCAGCCCCAACUAUAAGAUUUGUCAAAAAGGAACGUUUUAAGCCUGGUCUUAAAGAUAGAGAGGGUGUCUGCCUCCCGAACCCAAACUGGGAGCAGGUUCCACAAGAGAGGCGCCUGAUAACUGAAGGCUCUGCCUCCCAUUCUACUUUUAGAAAUUCUAGGAACAACAAGUAAGCCUGCCGUUUGAGAGCGAAGAGUUCUACUAGGAUAAUAAGGUACUAUCAGAUCUUUAAGAUAUGAUGGAGAUUGGUUAUUAAGAGCUUUAUAUGUCAGAAGAAGGAUUUUAAAUUCUAUUCUGGAUUUAACAGGAAGCCAGUGAAGAGAAGCAAGUAUAGGGGAAAUAUGAUCUCUUUUGCUAACUCCUGUCAGUACUCUCGCAGCUGCGUUUUGGAUCAACUGUAGAUGGUUAAGAGAGCUAUUUGGACAACCCGAUAAUAAGGAAUUGCAAUAGAAAAGCCUGGAAGUAACAAAAGCAUGAACUACUUUUUCUGCAUCACUCUGAGACAGAAUGUUCCUGAUUUUUACAAUAUUACGCAGGUGAAAAAAGGAAGUCCUACAGACUUGCUUUAUGUGUGAGUUAAAGGACAUGUCCUGGUCAAAAAUAACUCCAAGAUUCCUCACAGUAGUACUGGAGGCCAAUGUGAUGCCAUCCAGAGUAACUAUUUGCUUUGAAAGCGAGUUUCUAAGAUGUUUGGGGCCAAAUACAAUGACUUCAGUUUUGUCUGAAUUUAGCAGUAGGAAGUUAAAAGUCAUCCAGGUUUUAAUGUCCUUAAGACAAUCUUGCAGUCUAGCUAACUAGCAAACAUUAUAUAUGUAUGUUUGUGUGCAUAUAUGUAUAUGUGUUUCUGUGAAUGAAUGUGUGUUGUGUAUGAGUGAAUCUAUGCAUAUGUAUCUGUGUGUUAUUUAAUGUAUGAAAUGCAACUAGAUAUAUCUAAACUAAAUUCUAACUAAAUGUAUACUCUCCCUAACGUCUCUCAAAAGAAGGGAUCGAAACACCGUCUCGGAACACUUUCGCUUCAAACGCUCGGCACUGUGUCGAGCAAACUGGCUCGACUGUAACAUCACUAUUUUUCCCUUCCAUCUUUAUGUGAUGUGCGGUGCAUUUAGUGACAGCCUGCUUUACUUUGUUUAGUGACGCUGGGAGACGGGUCGCUCCGUUCAGCGUGCCGUGGGUGCUUCUGUGACGACAGGUUUAUUUGCUGUUGUCGUUGGAUCUCCUCCUCCUGCAUUGCUUCUACGCUGCGCCACAGCUAACCGGGUAUGUAUCGCUCAAUGAGGAAGUGAUCAAUGAAGUCCAGGUGAUGUUAUUUAAUGACAAUUCUGCUUAAUUGUCUACCUUUACUAGGUUGCAGCUAGACGUGUGGUUCAUUGGACGUCAUCGUUCCCUGGACUGGCGGCUGUCUCGGCUGUUUCGGUUUUUUCUUUCUUUUCGCCGGCUCUUGGUUGCGGCUCUUGUUCUCGGUCUGUUUGCCGGCUCUGUGAUUGGUGCCGACAACUUGCUGUGUUUGACUGUGUUGGUGUGUAUUUUCCAUUAGGUUUACCGCCAACGUGUGUAGAGUUACUGCAUUGUACUUUUUUUCUGUAAAAAACCUCAGGCUAUGAGGAUUAUCAUGCCUCAUAUGUCACCUGUGUUUUAAAGGUUAUUGUGUGGAGUGAGUGUGUGUGUUUUUAUUGUGUAUAUUGGUCUGGUCACCAGCACUGCUAAAUCAGGAGUACUAAUUAUUUGUUUCUUUUGUGCAGGUUUGGUGAGCCUCGGCGGCAGUUUAAUCCCUGGUGGUGGUUCACGGAUCCCUUUUCGUUGGUGUGUUGUCACAGGUGUGAUUAUUUGGACCCCCUUUUUCUUCCUUUUGGCUAUUUGUUUGCCUGCCGCCAUGGUAAGCCAGCCUGCUCCCUUUAUUGUUUAAGUUUAGUACUCCUGAUUCUCUCUUUUAAACUGGUGGCUUGCUUUUUAUAUUUAAUGCCAUAAUUAAUAAAGAAAUUGUUGUAUUUUUGGAAA